Molecule: ribosomal RNA, 296 nt
Filed under: uncultured bacterium
Lineage: Bacteria
Description: partial 16S ribosomal RNA
Rfam family: Bacterial small subunit ribosomal RNA
Source: RNAcentral
UGCCUACGGGGGGCAGCAGUGAGGAAUAUUGGUCAAUGGGCGGGAGCCUGAACCAGCCAAGUCGCGUGAGGGAAGACGGUCCUAUGGAUUGUAAACCUCUUUUGCCGGGGGACAAAAGGCCGGACUCGUCCGGUCCUGAGGAUACCCGGAGAAAAAGCAUCGGCUAACUCCGUGCCAGCAGCCGCGGUAAUACGGAGGAUGCGAGCGUUAUCCGGAUUCAUUGGGUUUAAAGGGUGCGCAGGCGGGCCUUUAAGCCGGCGGUGAAAUCGCGGGGCUCAACCCCGCCGAGCCGGCGG